Molecule: ribosomal RNA, 240 nt
Filed under: uncultured bacterium
Lineage: Bacteria
Description: partial 16S ribosomal RNA
Rfam family: Bacterial small subunit ribosomal RNA
Source: RNAcentral
GAUCCUGGCUCAGGAUGAACGCUAGCUACAGGCUUAACACAUGCAAGUCGAGGGGAAACGAUAUUGGAAGCUUGCUUCCGAUAGGCGUCGACCGGCGCACGGGUGAGUAACGCGUAUCCAACCUGCCCACCACUUGGGGAUAACCUUGCGAAAGUAAGACUAAUACCCAAUGAUAUCUCUAGAAGACAUCUGAAAGGGAUUAAAGAUUUAUCGGUGAUGGAUGGGGAUGCGUCUGAUUAG